GCGGGAUUAGUUUAAUGGCAGAACGAAAGAUUUCCAAUCUUUCGGCAGGGGUUCGAUUCCCCUAUCCCGCUCAA
RNAcentral lists this transfer RNA (74 nucleotides) under Candidatus Roizmanbacteria bacterium RIFOXYA1_FULL_37_12. RNAcentral's name for it is "tRNA-Gly". It matches the Rfam family "tRNA". Rfam says of the family: Transfer RNA (tRNA) molecules are approximately 80 nucleotides in length. Lineage: Bacteria; Candidatus Roizmaniibacteriota. The record is from RNAcentral. RNAcentral also lists the same sequence under 6 other names.